GAUGAACGCUAGCGGCAGGCCUAACACAUGCAAGUCGAGGGAGGAGCUUUCGGGCUUCGACCGGCGUACGGGUGCGUAACGCGUAUACAAUCUGCCUUUCACAUAGGGAUAGCCCGAAGAAUUUUGGAUUAAUACCUAAUGGUAUAUAGAGGUGGCAUCACCUUUAUAUUAAAGCUGAGGCGGUGAAAGAUGAGUAUGCGUUCUAUUAGCUAGUUGGAGAGGUAACGGCUCCCCAAGGCGACGAUAGAUAGGGGUUCUGAGAGAGAUAUCCCCCACACUGGUACUGAGAUACGGACCAGACUCCUACGGGAGGCAGCAGUGAGGAAUAGUGGACAAUGGUCGGAAGACUGAUCCAGCCAUGCCGCGUGCAGGAAGACGGCCUUAUGGGUUGUAAACUGCUUUUGCAGGGGAAGAAUAAGGACUACGCGUAGUUUGAUGACGGUACUCUGCGAAUAAGCAUCGGCUAACUCCGUG
Molecule: ribosomal RNA, 474 nt
Filed under: uncultured bacterium
Lineage: Bacteria
Description: partial 16S ribosomal RNA
Rfam family: Bacterial small subunit ribosomal RNA
Source: RNAcentral